Raphanus sativus (radish) is the source of this 418-nucleotide long non-coding RNA. RefSeq lists it as uncharacterized. Lineage: Eukaryota; Viridiplantae; Streptophyta; Magnoliopsida; Brassicales; Brassicaceae. The transcript has 2 exons. The record is from RefSeq and is a predicted model, not a curated record.
AAAGCGGAUAAAAACAAAAUCUGAAAGCCCUAAUUGGAUUCAGUCUUUUUUUCUCUGCCGACUAAUCACUCUCUUUUGGUCUUUGGCCUUCUGCAAAUUGUCGAUUCUCAUUCCCAAUCUCGAGUCUGGACUUCUCAGUUCUAAGCCUAUCUCUGUGUCUUUAGGUUUGACUCUUUGUAGCUAUCUCUCUCUCGGGCGAGAACAAGGGACUAACAUGGAUUAAGACCAACAAAAUGAGGGGUUGAGCAUGAGGUCGUGGCAAGAACAAGAAAGAGACAUCUUUGUAAUUUGUCUUUGAUUUCAGUUUAGACAAGAAUUUCUGAUUUUGUGUUCUUUGUUGUUUGUUAGAAAUUAAACAACUUGUGCAUGUUGAUGAAACGCAAGACUUAUGUUCUAUUGUAUGUGUUCGUCACAUUUU